CCUACGGGAGGCAGCAGUGAGGAAUAUUGGUCAAUGGGCGUAAGCCUGAACCAGCCAAGUCGCGUGAGGGAUGAAGGUUCUAUGGAUCGUAAACCUCUUUUAUCAGGGAAUAAAGUGCGGGACGUGUCCCGUUUUGGAUGUACCUUGUGAAUAAGGAUCGGCUAACUCCGUGCCAGCCGCCGCGGUAAUACGGAGGAUCCGAGCGUUAUCCGGAUUUAUUGGGUUUAAAGGGUGCGUAGGCGGCCGUGAAGGCAAGGGGGAAAGUCUGUGGCUCAACAGGAGAAGUGCCGUUGAAACUGGGAGGCUUGAGUGUGUGUGAGGUAGGCGGAAUGCGUGGUGUAGCGGUGAAAUGCAUAGAUAUCACGCAGAACCCCGAUUGCGAAGGCAGCAUGCC
This 394-nucleotide ribosomal RNA is filed under the name uncultured bacterium. RNAcentral's name for it is "partial 16S ribosomal RNA". It matches the Rfam family "Bacterial small subunit ribosomal RNA", at positions 338 to 730 of the family's 1533-position model. The record is from RNAcentral.